Long non-coding RNA from Hyla sarda, 339 nucleotides. RefSeq lists it as uncharacterized. The record is from RefSeq and is a predicted model, not a curated record. The transcript is spliced from 3 exons. Lineage: Eukaryota; Metazoa; Chordata; Amphibia; Anura; Hylidae.
GACAGAGCUACCAGAUGACCACUUCCAACACUGAAACUGUCCCGGUAGCUGCAUCUUAAAGCAAAGGUCUGAUGAAGAAAGAAAUGCAGCUUUGAAACACGUAAGCAGUAAAGGGAUCUGCUUACAUCUGUCUGUGAUUGCGAGGGACAACAUACCACCAAUAAUAUGGCUCCCGACCGGCAGCAUUCUGUUAUAUGGAUUCUUCUGUGCAGUUUGUUGGUAUCUAGAACGUACACUCCCAAAUUACAGGUAUCUGAUUUGCAGAGGAUCUUCAGACACUUCCUUAACACACAAGGAAAUCGGAGGAUACAGUCAAAACAAUACACAAUAUAUAAAUCA